RNAcentral lists this ribosomal RNA (116 nucleotides) under Cimex hemipterus. Its description in RNAcentral is "partial 16S ribosomal RNA". The record is from RNAcentral. Lineage: Eukaryota; Metazoa; Arthropoda; Insecta; Hemiptera; Cimicidae.
AAAAAACUAAAGGUCGAACAGACCUAAUCAUUAAGCGGCUACACCUAACAUUAAUUUUAAUCCAACAUCGAGGUCGCAAACCUUGCCAUAAAUAAGAACUCUCCGGCAAGAUUACG